Molecule: non-coding RNA, 111 nt
Filed under: uncultured Mallomonas
Lineage: Eukaryota; Synurophyceae; Synurales; Mallomonadaceae
Source: RNAcentral
UACUAAGACCUAGUCUAUUCUUCUUAACAUAUCAGUUUUUAUUUCGGUAGUAAUUUGAUACAUAAAACUUUUAUAGAAAAAAUCAUAAUGGUCAUGACGUCAUACGUAAUU